UACAGAGGGUGCAAGCGUUAAUCGGAAUUACUGGGCGUAAAGCGUGCGUAGUCGGUUAUCUAAGUCAGGUGUGAAAUCCCCGGGCUCAACCUGGGAAUUGCAUUUGAUACUGGAUAGCUAGAGUUCGGCAGAGGGAAGUGGAAUUUCUGGUGUAGCGGUGAAAUGCGUAGAUAUCAGGAGGAACACCGGUGGCGAAGGCGGCUCUCUGGACGGUGACUGACGCUAAGACGCGAAGGCGUGGGGAGCAAACAGG
Molecule: ribosomal RNA, 253 nt
Filed under: uncultured bacterium
Lineage: Bacteria
Description: partial 16S ribosomal RNA
Rfam family: Bacterial small subunit ribosomal RNA
Source: RNAcentral